RNAcentral lists this ribosomal RNA (427 nucleotides) under uncultured bacterium. RNAcentral's name for it is "bacterial SSU rRNA". It matches the Rfam family "Bacterial small subunit ribosomal RNA", at positions 355 to 796 of the family's 1533-position model. The record is from RNAcentral.
CCGAGAAUAUUCCGCAAUGGACGAAAGUCUGACGGAGCGACGCCGCGUGCUGGAUGAAGUGCUUCGGUACGUAAACAGCUUUUAUCGGGGACGAAAUUAUUGACGGUACCCGGUGAAUAAGGGCUUACUAACUCUGUGCCAGCAGUAGCGGUAAUACAGAGAGCCCGAGCGUUACCCGGAAUCACUGGGCGUAAAGGGUGUCCAGGCGGUCGUAUUAGUCGUUUGUAAAAUCCGCGCGCUUAACGUGCGGUCCGCAAGCGAAACGGUACGACUCGAGGGCGCGAGAGGUGCAUGGAACUCAUGGUGGAGGGGUGAAAUCCGUUGAUAUCAUGGGGAACACCAAAGGCGAAGGCAGUGCACUAGCGCGUUCCUGACGCUCACACACGAAAGCCAGGGUUUCGAACGGGAUUAGAUACCCCCGUAGUCC